GACGAACGCUGGCGGCGUGCUUAACACAUGCAAGUCGAGCGGUAAGGCCCUUUCGGGGGUACACGAGCGGCGAACGGGUGAGUAACACGUGGGUGACCUGCCCUCAGCUCUGGGAUAAGCCCGGGAAACUGGGUCUAAUACCGGAUAUGACUUCAUGACGCAUGUUGUGGAGUGGAAAGCCUUGUGCGGCUGAGGAUGGGCCCCGCGGCCUAUCAGCUUGUUGGUGGGGUGAGGCCUACCAAGGCGACGACGGGUAGCCGGCCUGAGAGGGCGACCGGCCACAC
Molecule: ribosomal RNA, 284 nt
Filed under: uncultured bacterium
Lineage: Bacteria
Description: partial 16S ribosomal RNA
Rfam family: Bacterial small subunit ribosomal RNA
Source: RNAcentral